UACGAAGGGGGCUAGCGUUGUUCGGAAUCACUGGGCGUAAAGGGCGCGUAGGCGGCCGAUCAAGUCGGGGGUGAAAGCCUGUGGCUCAACCACAGAAUGGCCUUCGAUACUGGUUGGCUCGAGACCGGAAGAGGUGAGUGGAACUGCGAGUGUAGAGGUGAAAUUCGUAGAUAUUCGCAAGAACACCGGUGGCGAAGGCGGUUCUCUGGGCCGUAACUGACGCUGAGGAGCGAAAGCAUGGGGAGCGAACAGG
RNAcentral lists this ribosomal RNA (253 nucleotides) under uncultured bacterium. RNAcentral describes it as "partial 16S ribosomal RNA". It matches the Rfam family "Bacterial small subunit ribosomal RNA", at positions 524 to 776 of the family's 1533-position model. The record is from RNAcentral.